Molecule: ribosomal RNA, 2927 nt
Filed under: Klebsiella oxytoca
Lineage: Bacteria; Pseudomonadati; Pseudomonadota; Gammaproteobacteria; Enterobacterales; Enterobacteriaceae
Description: 23S ribosomal RNA
Rfam family: Bacterial large subunit ribosomal RNA
Source: RNAcentral
GGGUUGUGAGGUUAAGCGACUAAGCGUACACGGUGGAUGCCCUGGCAGUCAGAGGCGAUGAAGGACGUGCUAAUCUGCGAAAAGCGUCGGUAAGGUGAUAUGAACCGUUACAGCCGGCGAUGUCCGAAUGGGGAAACCCAGUGCAAUUCGUUGCACUAUCGUUUGAUGAAUACAUAGUCAAACGAGGCGAACCGGGGGAACUGAAACAUCUAAGUACCCCGAGGAAAAGAAAUCAACCGAGAUUCCCCCAGUAGCGGCGAGCGAACGGGGAGCAGCCCGGAGUCUGAAUCAGCUUGUGUGUUAGUGGAAGCGUCUGGAAAGUCGCAGGGUACAGGGUGAUACUCCCGUACACUAAAGCACACAGGUUGUGAACUCGAAGAGUAGGGCGGGACACGUGGUAUCCUGUCUGAAUAUGGGGGGACCAUCCUCCAAGGCUAAAUACUCCUGACUGACCGAUAGUGAACCAGUACCGUGAGGGAAAGGCGAAAAGAACCCCGGCGAGGGGAGUGAAAAAGAACCUGAAACCGUGUACGUACAAGCAGUAGGAGCCCACUAGUUGGGUGACUGCGUACCUUUUGUAUAAUGGGUCAGCGACUUAUAUUCUGUAGCAAGGUUAACCGUAUAGGGGAGCCGCAGGGAAACCGAGUCUUAACUGGGCGUUAAGUUGCAGGGUAUAGACCCGAAACCCGGUGAUCUAGCCAUGGGCAGGUUGAAGGUUGGGUAACACUAACUGGAGGACCGAACCGACUAAUGUUGAAAAAUUAGCGGAUGACUUGUGGCUGGGGGUGAAAGGCCAAUCAAACCGGGAGAUAGCUGGUUCUCCCCGAAAGCUAUUUAGGUAGCGCCUCGUGAACUCAUCUUCGGGGGUAGAGCACUGUUUCGGCUAGGGGGUCAUCCCGACUUACCAACCCGAUGCAAACUACGAAUACCGAAGAAUGUUAUCACGGGAGACACACGGCGGGUGCUAACGUCCGUCGUGAAGAGGGAAACAACCCAGACCGCCAGCUAAGGUCCCAAAGUCAUGGUUAAGUGGGAAACGAUGUGGGAAGGCCCAGACAGCCAGGAUGUUGGCUUAGAAGCAGCCAUCAUUUAAAGAAAGCGUAAUAGCUCACUGGUCGAGUCGGCCUGCGCGGAAGAUGUAACGGGGCUAAACCAUGCACCGAAGCUGCGGCAGCGACACUAUGUGUUGUUGGGUAGGGGAGCGUUCUGUAAGCCGUUGAAGGUGGCCUGUGAGGGUUGCUGGAGGUAUCAGAAGUGCGAAUGCUGACAUAAGUAACGAUAAUGCGGGUGAAAAACCCGCACGCCGGAAGACCAAGGGUUCCUGUCCAACGUUAAUCGGGGCAGGGUGAGUCGACCCCUAAGGCGAGGCCGAAAGGCGUAGUCGAUGGGAAACAGGUUAAUAUUCCUGUACUCGGUGUUACUGCGAAGGGGGGACGGAGAAGGCUAUGUUGGCCGGGCGACGGUUGUCCCGGUUUAAGCAUGUAGGCGGAUGUUCCAGGUAAAUCCGGAACGUCACUAACGCUGAGGUGUGAUGACGAGGCACUACGGUGCUGAAGUGACAAAUGCCCUGCUUCCAGGAAAAGCCUCUAAGCAUCAGGUAACAUCAAAUCGUACCCCAAACCGACACAGGUGGUCAGGUAGAGAAUACCAAGGCGCUUGAGAGAACUCGGGUGAAGGAACUAGGCAAAAUGGUGCCGUAACUUCGGGAGAAGGCACGCUGAUGGUAGGUGAAGCGACUUGCUCGUGGAGCUGAAAUCAGUCGAAGAUACCAGCUGGCUGCAACUGUUUAUUAAAAACACAGCACUGUGCAAACACGAAAGUGGACGUAUACGGUGUGACGCCUGCCCGGUGCCGGAAGGUUAAUUGAUGGGGUUAUCCGUAAGGAGAAGCUCUUGAUCGAAGCCCCGGUAAACGGCGGCCGUAACUAUAACGGUCCUAAGGUAGCGAAAUUCCUUGUCGGGUAAGUUCCGACCUGCACGAAUGGCGUAAUGAUGGCCAGGCUGUCUCCACCCGAGACUCAGUGAAAUUGAACUCGCUGUGAAGAUGCAGUGUACCCGCGGCAAGACGGAAAGACCCCGUGAACCUUUACUAUAGCUUGACACUGAACACUGGUCCUUGAUGUGUAGGAUAGGUGGGAGGCUUUGAAGUGUGGACGCCAGUCUGCAUGGAGCCAUCCUUGAAAUACCACCCUUUAAUGGCUGGUGUUCUAACGUGGGCCCGUAAUCCGGGUUGCGGACAGUGUCUGGUGGGUAGUUUGACUGGGGCGGUCUCCUCCUAAAGAGUAACGGAGGAGCACGAAGGUCAGCUAAUCCUGGUCGGACAUCAGGAGGUUAGUGCAAUGGCAUAAGCUGGCUUGACUGCGAGCGUGACGGCGCGAGCAGGUGCGAAAGCAGGUCAUAGUGAUCCGGUGGUUCUGAAUGGAAGGGCCAUCGCUCAACGGAUAAAAGGUACUCCGGGGAUAACAGGCUGAUACCGCCCAAGAGUUCAUAUCGACGGCGGUGUUUGGCACCUCGAUGUCGGCUCAUCACAUCCUGGGGCUGAAGUAGGUCCCAAGGGUAUGGCUGUUCGCCAUUUAAAGUGGUACGCGAGCUGGGUUUAGAACGUCGUGAGACAGUUCGGUCCCUAUCUGCCGUGGGCGCUGGAGAAUUGAGGGGGGCUGCUCCUAGUACGAGAGGACCGGAGUGGACGCAUCACUGGUGUUCGGGUUGUCAUGCCAAUGGCAUUGCCCGGUAGCUAAAUGCGGAAGAGAUAAGUGCUGAAAGCAUCUAAGCACGAAACUUGCCCCGAGAUGAGUUCUCCCUGACCCUUUAAGGGUCCUGAAGGAACGUUGAAGACGACGACGUUGAUAGGCCGGGUGUGUAAGCGCAGCGAUGCGUUGAGCUAACCGGUACUAAUGAACCGUGAGGCUUAACCUUACAACGCCGAAG